UGGUGGAGUGAUUUGUCUGGUUAAUUCCGUUAACGAACGAGACCUCAGCCUGCUAACUAGUUACACGAAGAAUCUCCUUCGUGGCCAACUUCUUAGAGGGACUAUGGCCGUCUAGGCCAUGGAAGUUUGAGGCAAUAACA
This 140-nucleotide ribosomal RNA is filed under the name uncultured eukaryote. RNAcentral's name for it is "partial 18S ribosomal RNA". It matches the Rfam family "Eukaryotic small subunit ribosomal RNA", at positions 1299 to 1458 of the family's 1831-position model. The record is from RNAcentral.